GACGAACGCUGGCGGCGUGCUUAACACAUGCAAGUCGAACGGGCCCGCUCCCUUUUUUGGGGGUGGGUUGAGUGGCGAACGGGUGAGUAUCACGUGAGUAACCUGCCCCCUGCUCCUGGAUAACUGCUUGAAAGGGCGGCUAAUACGGGGUGUGCCGGCUGGUCCGCAUGGGCCUGGUCGGGAUAGUUUCAUCUUCGGGUGUUUCGGUGGGGGAUGGGCUCGCGGCCUAUCAGCUUGUUGGUGGGGUGAUGGCCCACCAAGGCGGUGACGGGUAGCCGGCCUGAGAGGGUGGGCGGCCACACUGGGACUGAGCCACGGCCCAGACUCCUGCGGGAGGCAGCAGUGGGGGGUAUUGCACAAUGGGCGGAAGCCUGAUGCAGCGACGUCGCGUGAGGGAUGGAGGCCUUCGGGUUGUGAACCUCUUUCUCCGGUGGUGAAGGCCCUGUCCGUUGCGGCGGGGUUGACGGUAGCCGGGUAUGAAGCGCCGGCUAACUACGUG
This 499-nucleotide ribosomal RNA is filed under the name uncultured bacterium. Its description in RNAcentral is "partial 16S ribosomal RNA". It matches the Rfam family "Bacterial small subunit ribosomal RNA", at positions 28 to 507 of the family's 1533-position model. The record is from RNAcentral.